UGAAAGUGAUCUUGCAUUACUUU
RNAcentral lists this small nuclear RNA (23 nucleotides) under Arabidopsis thaliana (thale cress). RNAcentral describes it as "snRNA_11103". Lineage: Eukaryota; Viridiplantae; Streptophyta; Magnoliopsida; Brassicales; Brassicaceae. The record is from RNAcentral.